Molecule: unclassified non-coding RNA, 271 nt
Filed under: uncultured Ascomycota
Lineage: Eukaryota; Fungi; Ascomycota
Description: sequence contains ITS2
Rfam family: 5.8S ribosomal RNA (bases 1-52)
Source: RNAcentral
AACGCACAUUGCGCCCAUUGGUAUUCCGAUGGGCAUGCCUGUUCGAGCGUCAUUAUCAACCCUCAAGCCUCCGGCUUGGUGUUGGAGGUCUGGCGGUCCCUGCGGAUCGCCCCUCCCAAAUACAACGACGGCGGCGGCGAGCGUCCCCGGUACACUGAGCUUUUCACCGAGCACGUACUGGAUGGGCCUCGACGUCCCGGUCUGCCUCCCCUCCGGGAGAAUUUUUCUCAAGGUUGACCUCGGAUCAGGUAGGGAUACCCGCUGAACUUAA